This 429-nucleotide ribosomal RNA is filed under the name uncultured bacterium. RNAcentral's name for it is "bacterial SSU rRNA". It matches the Rfam family "Bacterial small subunit ribosomal RNA", at positions 355 to 776 of the family's 1533-position model. The record is from RNAcentral.
UGGGGAAUUUUGGACAAUGGGGGCAACCCUGAUCCAGCCAUUCCGCGUGAGUGAAGAAGGCCUUCGGGUUGUAAAGCUCUUUCGCGAGGGAAGAAAACUUAUGAUCGAAUAAAUCAUGAGGUUGACGGUACCUUGAUAAGAAGCACCGGCUAACUACGUGCCAGCAGCCGCGGUAAUACGUAGGGUGCGAGCGUUAAUCGGAAUUACUGGGCGUAAAGAACUCGUAGGUGGUUUGUUACGUCGGAUGUGAAACUCUGGGGCUCAACCCCAGACCUGCAUCCGAUACGGGCAGACUAGAGUGUGGUAGGGGAGACUGGAAUUCCUGGUGUAGCGGUGGAAUGCGCAGAUAUCAGGAGGAACACCAAUGGCGAAGGCAGGUCUCUGGGCCGACACUGACGCUCAUGCACGAAAGCGUGGGGAGCAAACAGG